UUGGGCAAACUACGGGGAGGUAAUCACGAACUUGAUUAAUCAAGUUCAUGAUUAUGACGUCAUGAAAAUGGGGCGUGGCAUGACCAUAUAAGGAGUUGUAAUCAAGAUUUUGAUUACUUUUCGUGCACCGAACUAUUCAAGUGUUUCGUUUCGAUUGUUAUAAUGUCCAUAUCGACACGAUUUUUUACCAGGUGAAACGCAAUAUUCUAUUCUCCCGAAAUGAUAUGGACCGGUAGCAGUGGGAUAUGUACUUUAGCUCAUAUGGCGAAAGAUAAACUGCUAGCCUAACUUUUUCAGAAAAGUGAUAUUUUUUAAAGCCCUUUUUAGGCGGAUAUUAUUCUUUUAUCCACAUUUUUACGUUUCUAAUUUAAAAAUAAAUAAUUGGACAUUCAUUUUACACACGUCUUAAAUUGGUCGUAAUAAACAUUUCUUCCAAAAGGCACCGUCGCCUGUUAGCACGCCGCCAUUUGUCGUGUUGUCGGUGUGUGGGUGAGGCCGGAAAUUAGCGCCGAAUUAUUGCUCAUCAAAGCACCACCUCCUCGCUGUAGCAGUGGGCGUCGCUGUCACCACAGUAUUGUUCAGGAAGCUCAUGAUAAUGGUACCUAUGGUCCUACGUUGAGGAACGCUCAAUCAAAAAAUGAUAUGAUGAACUUCUUUGGAAUUAAGCGGACUAAGUACAGCUACAUUUGUAUUAUGUGCAUCGCUCAUGCAAGACAGCAGGCCAGGAUGCAGGGACACACAGCUGCAGGGGAUGAGCUGGAGAACCUGCAGCGCAUUCUCCAAGAGACGACGGAAGCCAACGGAGGCCCGCAAAACUUUCCAUCCCAUAAUCGUGAAUGGAGAGCUGGGCGGGGAAGACGCGGUAUUCGUCGAGGCCCAGGAGGUGGUAUCGGCGCCACCAGACCAAGCAUUCCUGCUGUGGCAGGCCACCUUUUGGAUUUUUAACAUCAAAACUCCUAAAAACGUGGUCAAUCUGAAUUGGUUUCUGAGAACCAAAGUGUUUGGUGGGGUGAAGGCCGAUGUGCCGCCAUCAGCGGCGGCCAUUGCGACCGUGAAGCAAGUGGAGUGAGAUCCCCGUAGAGCAUGCCGCUGCGGGGUGUCGGAAGCGUUUGCCAAUUCUUUGAGCCUUCCACCGGCAGGACUAUAAAUACACAUUUCUUGAAA
Molecule: long non-coding RNA, 1164 nt
Organism: Amphibalanus amphitrite
Lineage: Eukaryota; Metazoa; Arthropoda; Thecostraca; Balanomorpha; Balanidae
Exons: 3
Source: RefSeq, a predicted model, not a curated record